UGACUACCAAAAUUACAGUCUGAUGUAUGUCUCAUAUACUUUUAGUAAAAAUUGAAGGUAAAUAUAUAUAGGAAGAUGUGGGUUGAGUGCCAAUGAGACAAAUCUCCAUCUAAGUCACAAUUUAUGGAAGUAAACCAUUAUAAGUCAACGUACGAUCUUCAACACGGAGCAUUGGCUCACACCGAACAACAAGCUAUAAAGGGCCCUAAAUACUUACCAGUGUAAAACCAUUCAAACGGGAAAAACAAACGGUCUAAUCUAUAUAUAUAUAAAAAAA
This 277-nucleotide long non-coding RNA is filed under the name Mytilus galloprovincialis (Mediterranean mussel). The record is from RNAcentral. Lineage: Eukaryota; Metazoa; Mollusca; Bivalvia; Mytilida; Mytilidae.